This is a non-coding RNA of Rhypophila decipiens, 131 nucleotides long. NCBI's taxonomy places the organism in Eukaryota, Fungi, Ascomycota, Sordariomycetes, Sordariales, Naviculisporaceae. The record is from the annotation of a GenBank genome assembly.
GCCCGCAUGGCUCAGUGGUAGAGCGCAUCACUAGUAUUAGGUAGGCACGCUUGUUAUAUCUAACAAACUGAUUUGCGUGUCUAUCCUUGGUUUCUAUGAUGAGGUCAUCAGUUCGAUUCUGAUUGUGGGCA